UUAAGUUCAGCGGGUAUCCCUACCUGAUCCGAGGUCAAAAGUUGAAAAAAGGCUUUGUGGAUGCUGACCUUGGCUGGAAGAGAGCGCGACUUGUGCUGCGCUCCGAAACCAGUAGGCCGGCUGCCAAUUGCUUUAAGGCGAGUCUCCAGCGAACUGGAGACAAGACGCCCAACACCAAGCAAAGCUUGAGGGUACAAAUG
This 200-nucleotide unclassified non-coding RNA is filed under the name Alternaria sp. RNAcentral describes it as "partial internal transcribed spacer 2". Lineage: Eukaryota; Fungi; Ascomycota; Dothideomycetes; Pleosporales; Pleosporaceae. The record is from RNAcentral.